RNAcentral lists this ribosomal RNA (479 nucleotides) under Acrapex breviptera. RNAcentral's name for it is "partial large subunit ribosomal RNA". The record is from RNAcentral. Lineage: Eukaryota; Metazoa; Arthropoda; Insecta; Lepidoptera; Noctuidae.
UGUCUUUUUGAGUUUAAUAUAAAGUCUAAUCUGCCCACUGAUUUUAAAAAAUUAAAUGGCUGCAGUAUAUUGACUGUACAAAGGUAGCAUAAUCAUUAGUCAUUUAAUUGGUGACUUGUAUGAAGGAUUGGAUGAGAUAUAAACUGUCUUUUAUUUAAUUAUAAAAUUUAAUUUUUUUAUUAAAAAGUUAAAAUAAGUUAAAAAGACGAGAAGACCCUAUAGAGUUUUAUAAAUAAUUAAGUUAAGAUUAUAUUUAAAGUUUAAGUUUAAAAUUUAAAUAUUUAUUUUGUUGGGGUGAUAGAAAAAUAUAAAAAACUUUUUUUACAUAAAAACAUUUAUAAGUGAUUAAAUGAUCCAAUUUUAUUGAUUAUAAGAAAAAAUUACCUUAGGGAUAACAGCGUAAUUUUUUUUUUUAGUUCAAAUAAGAAAAAGAGUUUGCGACCUCGAUGUUGGAUUAAGAUAAAAUUUAAAUGUAGAAG